UAUAGGUAUUAAAUGAUUAAAAUAAUUCAAAUACAACGCAAAAGAAAUUUAUAUAUUAAAAGAAAUUUUAAUGAUAUUUAAUAAAGUGAUUUUAUCAAAAUAUAUGUGUUGAUUGAGAACUGGGGCAUAACUUACGCGAUCAUAACUAUAGCACUCCUCCCACUAUUAAAACCAAUCAAUAAUGUGGACUGAGAAAACAUUAUAAUAAAUAGUAAUUUCGAAGCCUGUGAAAGGAGUCUUUCUCUCCUAUGAAUAAGAAGACCACUUUAUUUUCAAUACUUCUACUUUCUUCAUUUAUUUUUUUUUUAGGAGUAGUCUACUUGUAAUUAUUUUCCUUUUUCCG
RNAcentral lists this long non-coding RNA (343 nucleotides) under Ananas comosus (pineapple). RNAcentral describes it as "long non-coding RNA (ACOM_LNC001126)". The record is from RNAcentral. Lineage: Eukaryota; Viridiplantae; Streptophyta; Magnoliopsida; Poales; Bromeliaceae.